CACAAGCGGUGGAGUAUGUGGUUAAUUCGAUGCAACGCGAAGAACCUUACCUGGUCUUGACAUCCCGGAGACCCUUAGGAAACGUAGGGGGUGCUUCCAUCUGGAAGAAUCUGGAGACAGGUGCUGCAUGGCUGUCGUCAGCUCGUGUCGUGAGAUGUUGGGUUAAGUCCCGCAACGAGCGCAACCCUUGCCUUUAGUUGCCAGCAGUUCGGCUGGGCACUCUAAAGGGACUGCCGGUGUUAAACCGGAGGAAGGUGGGGAUGACGUCAAGUCCUCAUGGCCUUUAUGACCAGGGCUACACACGUACUACAAUGGCCGAUACAAAGGGCAGCGACACUGCGAGGUGAAGCCAAUCCCGUAAAAUCGGUCUCAGUCCGGAUUGGAGUCUGCAACUCGACUCCAUGAAGUUGGAAUCGCUAGUAAUCGUGGAUCAGCAUGCCACGGUGAAUACGUUCCCGGGCCUU
Molecule: ribosomal RNA, 464 nt
Filed under: uncultured Desulfobulbus sp.
Lineage: Bacteria; Pseudomonadati; Thermodesulfobacteriota; Desulfobulbia; Desulfobulbales; Desulfobulbaceae
Description: bacterial SSU rRNA
Rfam family: Bacterial small subunit ribosomal RNA
Source: RNAcentral